GAUGAACGCUGGCGGCGUGCCUAAUACAUGCAAGUCGAGCGAACAGACGAGGAGCUUGCUCCUCUGACGUUAGCGGCGGACGGGUGAGUAACACGUGGAUAACCUACCUAUAAGACUGGGAUAACAUCGGGAAACCGGAGCUAAUACCGGAUAAUAUAUUGAACCGCAGGGUUCAAUAGUGAAAGACGGUUUUGCUGUCACUUAUAGAUGGAUCCGCGCCGCAUUAGCUAGUUGGUAAGGUAACGGCUUACCAAGGCAACGAUGCGUAGCCGGCCUGAGAGGGUGAUCGGCCACACUGGAACUGAGACACGGUCCAGACUCCUACGGGAGGCAGCAGUAGGGAAUCUUCCGCAAUGGGCGAAAGCUUGACGGAGCAACGCCGCGUGAGUGAUGAAGGUCUUCGGAUCGUAAACUUCUGUUAUUAGGGAAGAACAACUGUGUAAGUAACUAUGCACGUCUUGACGGUACCUAAUCAGAAAGCCCCGGCUAACUACGUG
RNAcentral lists this ribosomal RNA (497 nucleotides) under uncultured bacterium. Its description in RNAcentral is "partial 16S ribosomal RNA". It matches the Rfam family "Bacterial small subunit ribosomal RNA", at positions 28 to 507 of the family's 1533-position model. The record is from RNAcentral.